Molecule: microRNA precursor, 102 nt
Filed under: Marmota monax (woodchuck)
Lineage: Eukaryota; Metazoa; Chordata; Mammalia; Rodentia; Sciuridae
Source: RNAcentral
AGGUGCACACGAGGAUCUUGUUGAAAUGCAGAGUCUGAGUUGGUAGGGUUGGGGCAGUCCCUGAGAUUCUGCAUUUUUCAAACGUUUCUAGGUGAGGCUAAU